CAGUAGCCACGGGAAUACAGAGGGUGCAAGCGUUAAUCGGAAUUACUGGGCGUAAAGCGCGCGUAGGUGGUUUGUUAAGUUGGAUGUGAAAUCCCCGGGCUCAACCUGGGAACUGCAUCCAAAACUGGCAAGCUAGAGUAUGGUAGAGGGUGGUGGAAUUUCCUGUGUAGCGGUGAAAUGCGUAGAUAUAGGAAGGAACACCAGUGGCGAAGGCGACCACCUGGACUGAUACUGACACUGAGGUGCGAAAGCGUGGGGAGCAAACAGGAUUAGAUACCCGUGUAGUCCCUGUCUCUUAUAC
Molecule: ribosomal RNA, 301 nt
Filed under: uncultured bacterium
Lineage: Bacteria
Description: partial 16S ribosomal RNA
Rfam family: Bacterial small subunit ribosomal RNA
Source: RNAcentral